Molecule: non-coding RNA, 228 nt
Filed under: Caloramator mitchellensis
Lineage: Bacteria; Bacillati; Bacillota; Clostridia; Eubacteriales; Clostridiaceae
Description: T-box sequence
Rfam family: T-box leader
About the family: Uncharged tRNA acts as the effector for transcription antitermination of genes in the T-box leader family. T-boxes are found upstream of many aminoacyl-tRNA synthetase genes and some amino acid biosynthetic genes usually in Gram-positive bacteria. The anticodon of a specific tRNA base pairs to a specifier sequence within the T-box motif, and the NCCA acceptor tail of the tRNA base pairs to a conserved bulge in the T-box antiterminator hairpin.
Source: RNAcentral
AAUAAAGCUGUGAAGGAAAGAGUAGCACAUAGAGCAUUCAAAAGAGAGCCGGGGAAGGUGAAAGCCGGUAGUGCAAAGUGUGUGAACAUGGCUCCGGAGCUUGUUUGCUGAAGCUUAGUAGGCAUUCACGGUUUAUCCGUUAUCUUCAGGUUAUCGAUUAAACCUGCUAAGGCUUGAGUCGUGAGGCUCGAGCGAAUUAGGGUGGUAACGCGGCACCUCGCCCCUAAA